Molecule: long non-coding RNA, 2108 nt
Filed under: Salvia miltiorrhiza (redroot sage)
Lineage: Eukaryota; Viridiplantae; Streptophyta; Magnoliopsida; Lamiales; Lamiaceae
Description: long non-coding RNA (SMIL_LNC006101)
Source: RNAcentral
GGACACAAAGUGUGGUAUACUAAAUCUCAUUCCAAUGGCUGAUUUAACAAGUCACAUUUCGACUAAUUCUUUAGUAUCGUACUAAGAAUUGCAUAAAAAAAGGAGGUACAUUUUGGACGGGGUUAUUGUGCUAAAUGAGGUAAUCGAAGAGGUCAAAAAAGGAAGAAGGGCUCAAUCCUGUUCAAAGUAGAUUUCGAAAAGGCUUAUGACACAAUUGAUUGGGACUUUCUGGACCAAAUGCUCGACAGGAUGAACUUCGGCUUAAAGUGGAGAAAAUGGAUCUCGGGUUGCCUUCUUUCUGCCACCGCUAACGUCUUGGUCAAUGGAAGUCCUUCGGGCGAAUUCCAAUUGGAAAGAGGACUCAGACAGGGGAUCCUUUAUCCCCCUAUCUUUUUCUUAUUGUCGCAGAGGGUCUCAAUUUACUCACAGAGAGAGCUAUUCAGAAAUGGCUGAUCGAACCUAUUGAGCUUGGGAAUAAUGGCACAAAAAUCUCUCAUCUUCAAUAUGCGGAUGACACAGUGUUCCUCGCCCCGGGGAAAGCUGAGAAUGUUUGGACGGUGAAGUGUAUUCUUAAAAUUUUCGAACUGCUCUCAGGCCUAAAAGUCAACUUCGAUAAGAGCUGUAUUUUCGGGAUUGGCAUCCAAAGACCAAUCAGAGAUCAGUUGGCGGCAAUUCUCGAUUGUAAAGUCGGGGAUCUCCCAACUAAAUACUUGGGAAUUUUGAUUGGCGCUCGAAUAUCCCGAGUCGAUGACUGGAAGUACUUGGUUGAAAAAAUAAAGAGAAGAAUUUCCAAGUGGAUGAACCGAAAGGUCUCCUUUGUUGGCAGACUCACACUGCUCCGAUCGGUCCUCUUAUCUAUUCCAAUCUAUCAAAUGUCUUUCUCGAUUUUGCCCAAGAAAGUGGUGGCUGAUCUUCGCUCUUUGAUGAGCAAUUUUCUUUGGGGAGGGGAGGGCUCGGAGGAGAGAAAGAUCCAUUGGGUAAAAUGGGAUGAUCUCUGUCAAGACACCCGAGAGGGGGGAUUCGGCCUAAAAGAUCUGGAAAGCUUCAAUUUGGCCCUUAUGACUAAGUGGUUGUGGAGAUUUUUGUCGGAGGAGCAUUCCCUUUGGGUUCGGGUGGUGAAAGCUUGUAAGGGGGAUUUGGAGUGGAACGAGGAGGGCUUUUGUUUUGCAAGAAAUAAGAAGGCGAAAGCCGGCUGGUGGAAGAAGAUUUUGAAACUCAGUUGGGGGGAGGAAGGGAGAUGGCUCAAUGAAAAUUUGAAAAGGAAAAUUGGAGACGAAAAAUCUAAUAUGUUCUAGCAUCACAGGUGGGCAGUAGAGAAAAGGCUUAAAGACAGUUUUCCAAGACUCUUUCGCUUGAGCAGUAACCAGGGGGGAACUCUUUUCGACAUGGGUGGCUGGGCAGACGGAGUGUGGGAGUGGAGACCUCUUUGGAAACGGGUUCUGAGGGAGCGCGAGGAUGCUCAGCUCUCUGAAAUCCUCUCUAUUAUCAAUAAUUUCCCUCUUUGCGCAGGAAAGCAAGACGGUUGGAGAUGGAAGCCGGACCCCAACAGAUUCUUUUCUGCAAAGUCGGCUUACAAAAUUAUCCGUGGAGCUAGAGCUUUGAGCAGAAACCAACCGAAAAAUCUAGCAUUCUCGAAGAUCUGGAAGGCCCCAGCACCCUACAAGAUGAAGAUAACAACAUAGAGAAUUGUCAAAGGGAAAAUUGGUGAAUAAGAUUAAGACGAGACUGUGGAGCUGGACGAAGGUGUACAAGAUGGAGCAGUCGUCACCUAAUCUUCUCUCGUGGAUGAGGAACUUGGAUGUCUUCGAUUGUUCCUGAGCCCGGCUGACCCAACCGCCGCUCUCUUUCCUCUCUUUCUGCUCUUCUUUGUGUGCUGUUCUUUGCCGGACUCUCUUCUUUCUGGUACCGCUGGUACCAUGGUUUUAAUAUUACUUCCCUUUUCUUGAUCAAAAAAAAAAAGAAUUGCAUAAAAAAACUACCAUUUCUGUGGUCUAAAUUUGUUGAAGGAAAAAAGUCUAGGGACAAGUUGAAUAAAAUUCACCUUGCGUGAUCAAUCAACUUUCACGAGAUCCACUUUUCUUGCUAUUUUCAGAUACAUUGAACCUGGA